RNAcentral lists this ribosomal RNA (260 nucleotides) under Aspergillus sp. CCF 1893. Its description in RNAcentral is "partial 28S ribosomal RNA". It matches the Rfam family "Eukaryotic large subunit ribosomal RNA", at positions 1 to 256 of the family's 3401-position model. Lineage: Eukaryota; Fungi; Ascomycota; Eurotiomycetes; Eurotiales; Aspergillaceae. The record is from RNAcentral.
UUGACCUCGGAUCAGGUAGGGAUACCCGCUGAACUUAAGCAUAUCAAUAAGCGGAGGAAAAGAAACCAACCGGGAUUGCCUCAGUAACGGCGAGUGAAGCGGCAAGAGCUCAAAUUUGAAAUCUGGCCCCCUCGGGGUCCGAGUUGUAAUUUGCAGAGGAUGCUUCGGGUGCGGCCCCCGUCUAAGUGCCCUGGAACGGGCCGUCAUAGAGGGUGAGAAUCCCGUCUGGGACGGGGUGUCCGCGUCCGUGUGAAGCUCCU